Molecule: transfer RNA, 73 nt
Filed under: SAR202 cluster bacterium
Lineage: Bacteria; Bacillati; Chloroflexota; Dehalococcoidia
Description: tRNA-Arg
Rfam family: tRNA
About the family: Transfer RNA (tRNA) molecules are approximately 80 nucleotides in length. Their secondary structure includes four short double-helical elements and three loops (D, anti-codon, and T loops).
Source: RNAcentral
GCCCGCGUAGCUCAGGGGACAGAGCAAUGGGUUUCUAACCCAUUGGCCGCAGGUUCGAAUCCUGCCGCGGGUA